CCCUUAGAUGUUCUGGGCCGCACGCGCGCUACACUGACGAAUGCAAUGAGCUUAUAACCUUGGCCGAAAGGUCUGGGUAAUCUCCAAAUUUCGUCGUGAUGGGGAUAGAUUAUUGCAAUUAUUAAUCUUCAACGAGGAAUGCCUAGUAAGCGCAAGUCAUCAGCUUGCGUUGAUUACGUCCCUGCCCUUUGUACACACCGCCCGUCGCUCCUACCGAUUGAAUGGUCCGGUGAAGCGUUCGGACCGUGGCCUUUGGACGGUUCGCCGUCUGUUGGCUGCGGGAAGUUCGUUAAACCUUAUCAUUUAGAGGAAGGAGAANUCGUANCA
This 327-nucleotide ribosomal RNA is filed under the name uncultured eukaryote. RNAcentral describes it as "partial 18S ribosomal RNA". It matches the Rfam family "Eukaryotic small subunit ribosomal RNA", at positions 1470 to 1796 of the family's 1831-position model. The record is from RNAcentral.